GAAUGAAAACGAAAUGAGGAGAGAAAGGAGAGAGCAGAACCUGCACUGCAACCACGGGAAAACAGAGAAGAGCGAGGGGCGUCCACGAGAGAAAGAGUUGGGACUUGGAAAGGGUCUGAAAAGCGCACCGGAGGCGCGCCUCUUCCAUGUCUUGAACUCUGACUCGUAUGCCUUUUGGGCUCGACGCGUACCUGCAGCGCGCCUCGACGCGUACCUGAAGCGCGCCUCGACGCGUACCUGAAGCGCGCCUCGACGCGUACCUGAAGCGCGCCUCGACGCGUACCGAAGCGCGCCUCGACGCGUACGGAAGCGCGCCCCGAUGCACACGGAAGCGCGCCCCGAUGCACACUGAAGCGCGCCUGCCAAUUCCUUCGCCGACGCCCAAAUAGUGGGACAAAAUCGAAAUUUGAUCUCCAUUCUCCACUAUGAAUGGUAAUAAUGUAUUAGAAUGAGUCAUCAACAGAAUAAAGUAAGAUUAUUUUUUUAGGUUUUUCCACUUAAUGCAGAAAGCUUUAAGCACGUCUUUCCGGUUUACACACUUGACCACUUCGUCGUUUUGUUGCAUCUGCAUCCUCUGUGGCUUUCUCCAUAUGUGAAUCAAAAGAUGGACAGCUGUAAAGCAAAGUCACACCCCUCAAACUGUAAACAAUAAAGAGAGAAUCCAAACUUCA
Long non-coding RNA from Vitis vinifera (wine grape), 671 nucleotides. RefSeq lists it as uncharacterized. The transcript has 2 exons. The record is from RefSeq and is a predicted model, not a curated record. Lineage: Eukaryota; Viridiplantae; Streptophyta; Magnoliopsida; Vitales; Vitaceae.